UACCGUGUAGGUCCGGAAAGGUCACCGACGAAAAUGGAGUCAGCCCGGCCGGGAGAAGAGUCUGCCCGGUCGUGAGAGAAAGCCCGGUCUCAAGAGACGGACGUGAGCGGAGAAAGCCCGGUCGCAGGAGACGACUGCGAGCAGAGAAAGCCCGGUCAGGAGCAGAGUCAGCCCGACCGUGAGCAGAAAAGAGGGUCCGGCCGCGAGAGAGAAGCGGAACCGGCCGAGUGAGAGAGCCGACCGCGAGAGAGAGACGCGGACCAGGCCCCGCGAUCGAAGCGGGACACAGCGCUUACCCAGCACCCGACAGCGGGGCACAGUCUCGACGAGCCGAGCAGCCAGGCGGGCCGGAGAGCCAGCGACGAGCCGAGCAGCGGGUCUAGCAGCAGCCUGGCGGGCCGGAGAGCCAGUGACGAGCCGAGCAGCGGCCAGGUGGGCUGUGGAGCCAGCAACGGGCGGUACACCGGGAGAUGGAGAGAAGGUCGCCUUCAGUGAUGGCCAGAGGAGUCGAAGGCCUCUCCCAGAGGGAGUAAUGGCCGCCACCGUGUUGCCCCAGACCAUCACCCGCAACCAAAGAUUGGAGCCCACGUCCACGCGGCAUUAACGGCUGCCAGAAAAAAAAAGUGACAGUCAGGAAACUGCGAAGGAGAUGGGAAAGAAGCA
Amblyraja radiata (thorny skate) is the source of this 663-nucleotide long non-coding RNA. RefSeq lists it as uncharacterized. The transcript is spliced from 2 exons. Lineage: Eukaryota; Metazoa; Chordata; Chondrichthyes; Rajiformes; Rajidae. The record is from RefSeq and is a predicted model, not a curated record.